This 2174-nucleotide ribosomal RNA is filed under the name Psychrobacillus insolitus. RNAcentral describes it as "bacterial LSU rRNA". It matches the Rfam family "Bacterial large subunit ribosomal RNA", at positions 114 to 2283 of the family's 2925-position model. Lineage: Bacteria; Bacillati; Bacillota; Bacilli; Caryophanales; Bacillaceae. The record is from RNAcentral.
CCGAAUGGGGAAACCCACUGUUCGUAAUGGAGCAGUACAUUUACGUGAAUACAUAGCGUAUCUGUGGCACACCCAGGGAACUGAAACAUCUAAGUACCUGGAGGAAGAGAAAGAAACAUCGAUUCCCUGAGUAGCGGCGAGCGAAACGGGAAUAGCCCAAACCAAGAGGCUUGCCUCUUGGGGUUGUAGGACACUCAACACGGAGUUACAAAGGAAUGAGUUAGACGAAGCGAUCUGGAAAGGUCCGCAAGAUAGGGUAAAAGCCCCGUAGUCCAAAAUUCAUUCUCUCCUGAGUGUAUCCUGAGUACGGCGGAACACGUGAAAUUCCGUCGGAAUCCGGGAGGACCAUCUCCCAAGGCUAAAUACUCCCUAGUGACCGAUAGUGAACCAGUACCGUGAGGGAAAGGUGAAAAGCACCCCGGAAGGGGAGUGAAAUAGAUCCUGAAACCGUGUGCCUACAAGUAGUUAGAGCCCGUUAAUGGGUGAUAGCGUGCCUUUUGUAGAAUGAACCGGCGAGUUACGAUCCCAUGCAAGGUUAAGCUGAGAAGGCGGAGCCGCAGCGAAAGCGAGUCUGAAUAGGGCGAAUGAGUAUGUGGUCGUAGACCCGAAACCAGGUGAUCUACCCAUGUCCAGGAUGAAGGUAAGGUAACACUUACUGGAGGUCCGAACCCACGCACGUUGAAAAGUGCGGGGAUGAGGUGUGGGUAGCGGAGAAAUUCCAAUCGAACCUGGAGAUAGCUGGUUCUCUCCGAAAUAGCUUUAGGGCUAGCCUCAAACGUUAGAAUCUUGGAGGUAGAGCACUGUUUGGACUAGGGGCCCAUCCCGGGUUACCGAAUUCAGACAAACUCCGAAUGCCAAUGAUUUAUGUUUGGGAGUCAGACUGCGAGUGAUAAGAUCCGUAGUCAAGAGGGAAACAGCCCAGACCACCAGCUAAGGUCCCAAAGUAUUUGUUAAGUGGAAAAGGAUGUGGCGUUGCUUAGACAACCAGGAUGUUGGCUCAGAAGCAGCCAUCAUUUAAAGAGUGCGUAAUAGCUCACUGGUCGAGUGACGCUGCGCCGAAAAUGUAUCGGGGCUAAACAAAUCACCGAAGCUGUGGAUUGAUACCUAUGGUAUCAGUGGUAGGAGAGCGUUCUAAGGGCGUCGAAGUCAGACCGUAAGGACUGGUGGAGCGCUUAGAAGUGAGAAUGCCGGUAUGAGUAACGAAAGAUGGGUGAGAAUCCCAUCCACCGUAUGACUAAGGUUUCCUGAGGAAGGCUCGUCCGCUCAGGGUUAGUCGGGACCUAAGUCGAGGCCGAUAGGCGUAGACGAUGGAUAACAGGUUGAUAUUCCUGUACCACCAAACCACCGUUUGAGCAAUGGGGGGACGCAGAAGGAUAGGGUAAGCAUGCUGUUGGUUAUGCAUGUCUAAGCAGUAAGGUGUGAAUGUAGGCAAAUCCGCAUUCUUUAACAUUGAGCUGUGAUGGCGAGGACGUAUGUCCGAAGUUCCUGAUUUCACACUGCCGAGAAAAGCCUCUAGCGAGGUGAUAGGUGCCCGUACCGCAAACCGACACAGGUAGUCGAGGAGAGAAUCCUAAGGUGAGCGAGAGAACUCUCGCUAAGGAACUCGGCAAAAUGACCCCGUAACUUCGGGAGAAGGGGUGCUCUUUUGGGUGUAUAGCCUAGAAGAGCCGCAGUGAAUAGGCCCAGGCGACUGUUUAGCAAAAACACAGGUCUAUGCAAAACCGUAAGGUGAAGUAUAUGGGCUGACGCCUGCCCGGUGCUGGAAGGUUAAGAGGAGUGCUUAGCGCAAGCGAAGGUGCGAAUUGAAGCCCCAGUAAACGGCGGCCGUAACUAUAACGGUCCUAAGGUAGCGAAAUUCCUUGUCGGGUAAGUUCCGACCCGCACGAAAGGCGUAACGAUCUGGGCGCUGUCUCAACGAGAGACUCGGUGAAAUUAUAGUACCUGUGAAGAUGCAGGUUACCCGCGACAGGACGGAAAGACCCCGUGGAGCUUUACUAUAGCUUGAUAUUGAAUUUUGGUGCAACUUGUACAGGAUAGGCAGGAGCCUUAGAGCCCGGAGCGCCAGCUUCGGAGGAGGCGUCGGUGGGAUACUGCCCUGGUUGUAUUGAAAUUCUAACCCAUACCCGUAACCCGGGUAGGAGACAGUGUCAGGCGGGUAGUUUGACUGGGGCGGU